UACGAAGGGGGCUAGCGUUGCUCGGAAUCACUGGGCGUAAAGCGCACGUAGGCGGGUUGUUAAGUCGGGGGUGAAAUCCUGGAGCUCAACUCCAGAACUGCCUUCGAUACUGGCGACCUUGAGUCCGGGAGAGGUGAGUGGAACUCCGAGUGUAGAGGUGAAAUGCGUAGAUAUCGGAAGGAACAUCAGUGGCGAAGGCGACUUCCUGGACCAAUACUGACGCUCAGGUGCGAAAGCGUGGGGAGCAAACAGG
Molecule: ribosomal RNA, 253 nt
Filed under: uncultured bacterium
Lineage: Bacteria
Description: partial 16S ribosomal RNA
Rfam family: Bacterial small subunit ribosomal RNA
Source: RNAcentral